UACGUAGGGUGCGAGCGUUUGUCCGGAAUUAUUGGGCGUAAAGAGCUCGUAGGCGGUCUGUCGCGUCGAUCGUGAAAACUUGGGGCUUAACCCUGAGCUUGCGGUCGAUACGGGCAUGACUGGAGUUCGGCAGGGGAGACUGGAAUUCCUGGUGUAGCGGUGAAAUGCGCAGAUAUCAGGAGGAACACCAAUGACGAAGGCAGCUCGCUGGGACGGUACUGACGCCUGAGACGCGAAAGC
Molecule: ribosomal RNA, 240 nt
Filed under: uncultured bacterium
Lineage: Bacteria
Description: partial 16S ribosomal RNA
Rfam family: Bacterial small subunit ribosomal RNA
Source: RNAcentral